UGGGGAAUAUUGCACAAUGGGGGAAACCCUGAUGCAGCGACGCCGCGUGAGCGAUGAAGUAUUUCGGUAUGUAAAGCUCUAUCAGCAGGGAAGAAACUGACGGUACCUGACUAAGAAGCACCGGCUAAAUACGUGCCAGCAGCCGCGGUAAUACGUAUGGUGCAAGCGUUAUCCGGAUUUACUGGGUGUAAAGGGAGCGUAGACGGACUUGCAAGUCUGAAGUGAAAGCCCGGGGCUCAACCCCGGGACUGCUUUGGAAACUGUAGGUCUAGAGUGCUGGAGAGGUAAGUGGAAUUCCUAGUGUAGCGGUGAAAUGCGUAGAUAUUAGGAGGAACACCAGUGGCGAAGGCGGCUUACUGGACAGUAACUGACGUUGAGGCUCGAAAGCGUGGGGAGCAAACAGG
RNAcentral lists this ribosomal RNA (404 nucleotides) under uncultured bacterium. RNAcentral's name for it is "bacterial SSU rRNA". It matches the Rfam family "Bacterial small subunit ribosomal RNA", at positions 355 to 776 of the family's 1533-position model. RNAcentral also lists the same sequence under 1 other name. The record is from RNAcentral.